UCGGGAAUAUUGCGCAAUGGAGGAAACUCUGACGCAGUGACGCCGCGUGCAGGAAGAAGGUUUUCGGAUUGUAAACUGCUUUUAGACAGGGAAGAAAAAAGACAGUACCUGUAGAAUAAGCUCCGGCUAACUACGUGCCAGCAGCCGCGGUAAUACGUAGGGAGCAAGCGUUAUCCGGAUUUAUUGGGUGUAAAGGGUGCGUAGACGGGAAAGCAAGUUAGCUGUGAAAUCCCUCGGCUCAACCGAGGAACUGCAGCUAAAACUACUAUUCUUGAGUGCUGGAGGGGAAAGUGGAAUUCCUAGUGUAGCGGUGAAAUGCGUAGAUAUUAGGAGGAACACCAGUGGCGAAGGCGACUU
RNAcentral lists this ribosomal RNA (357 nucleotides) under uncultured Acetivibrio sp. RNAcentral describes it as "bacterial SSU rRNA". It matches the Rfam family "Bacterial small subunit ribosomal RNA", at positions 355 to 727 of the family's 1533-position model. The record is from RNAcentral. Lineage: Bacteria; Bacillati; Bacillota; Clostridia; Acetivibrionales; Acetivibrionaceae.